ACGAACGCUGGCGGCAUGCCUAACACAUGCAAGUCGAACGGGAUCCGGACUUCGGUCCGGUGAGAGUGGCGGACGGGUGAGUAACACGUGGGAACCUGCCUUUUGGUUCGGGAUAACCGCGGGAAACUGCGGCUAAUACCGGAUACUCCCGAGAGGGGAAAGAUUUAUCGCCAGAAGAGGGGCCCGCGUCCGAUUAGGUAGUUGGUGGGGUAAUGGCCUACCAAGCCGACGAUCGGUAGCUGGUCUGAGAGGAUGAUCAGCCACACUGGGACUGAGAUACGGCCCAGACUCCUACGGGAGGCAGCAGUGGGGAAUAUUGGACAAUGGGGGCAACCCUGAUCCAGCAAUGCCGCGUGAGUGAUGAAGGCCUUAGGGUUGUAAAGCUCUUUUGCCAGGGAAGAUGAUGACUGUACCUGGAGAAUAAGCCCCGGCUAACUUCGU
This 441-nucleotide ribosomal RNA is filed under the name uncultured bacterium. Its description in RNAcentral is "bacterial SSU rRNA". It matches the Rfam family "Bacterial small subunit ribosomal RNA", at positions 29 to 506 of the family's 1533-position model. The record is from RNAcentral.